This 274-nucleotide ribosomal RNA is filed under the name uncultured bacterium. Its description in RNAcentral is "partial 16S ribosomal RNA". It matches the Rfam family "Bacterial small subunit ribosomal RNA", at positions 523 to 796 of the family's 1533-position model. The record is from RNAcentral.
AUACGGAGGCUGCAAGCGUUACUCGGAAUCACUGGGCGUAAAGCGCGCGCAGGCGGGCUGAUAAGUUGGAUGUGAAAGCCUACGGCUCAACCGUAGAACUGCAUCCAAAACUGUCAGUCUAGAGUGUGGGAGAGGAAGAUGGAAUUAGUUGUGUAGGGGUAAAAUCCGUAGAGAUAACUAGGAAUACCAAGAGCGAAGGCAAUCUUCUGGAACACUACUGACGCUGAGGCGCGAAGGCGUGGGGAGCAAACAGGAUUAGAAACCCGGGUAGUCC